ACUUUCAAGUUCCCUGUUGCUCCUGAGAGCUUUCUUUCUGUCACUCAAUAAAAUUCUCCUCUGCCUUACUCACUCUCCAGUGUCUGCACACCUCAUUCCUCUUGGUCGUGAGACAAGAACUCAGAACUUGCUGAAAUGCAGAAGUGAAAGAGCAGUAUCACUCCAUCCUGCUGAACUAUGGGAGUGAAGAAGCCACAGUAGGACUUUACUAGAAGUGAGGAUUGGAGAACAGAAUCUUUCCAAAAGGAACACCUCAAAUACUCACUUCAUCAAGUCUCUGCAGACCAAAACAUUGUGAUUACUGCUAACCAUACCCAUCUUAAAGAUACAGGAACAACUGCCAUGUUGUGGAGAGGGCAGAAAACAGCAGGCAAUCUCCCAGCCCUGAGAAUGGCCUCCUCUUCCCAACAGCCAGCAAGAAGGCUGGAAUCUCAGUCCUAUGACCAAAAGAAACUCUAGUCUAACAGGCCAAAUCAGUCUGGAAGAAGAUCUUAAGCUUCAGCUCACAGAUUCUCUGCCUGUGUCGUAUGGCUAUUGCCAGGGGAUGAACGAGGGUUGCUGUUCGCAAUUCAAGACUGUCUUUCCUACCCUCUUCAGUGCCUCUUGAUGUUAAAACCAGGUACUGUUAUCGCUCAUUUGAUUUUUGGUUCUUAUGAAGGUGGCGUUCUGUGUGAAUAGUUGUUUAGUUUCGUGUUCCUGUAGGGGGAGGGAUGGUCUUUAGAGGGAGUCUACUUAGCCAUCUUGCUCUGCCUCCUCUCCAGAAUCUCUUUCUUAAUCAAAUGCAGUAACUUCCUACAUUCCUCUGCUGUAUCCAGUCUUAUCUCCCAUGAAUCUGUUUAUACCGUAGCAGAGAAAGUGAUCUACAUUUUUAAAAACCUGACCAUGUUGCUGUCACCAAAACAUUCUAUAUUGUUUUUUAGCUCCUCCUCAUGUACAAAUUCUCAAACUUCUUAACGAUUUUCUUUCAUAACUUUGUACUUACUGAUCUAUGUCAACUUUUUUUUAAUCCUAGCUUUGCACUUUAUAUUUAACCACGCAGAACUCCUGUGAGACUGAGCCCUUAGCCUAUGAAAUCUGUCGCUAUCUCUGGAUAGUUACUUGUGUUGCUUCACCAAUACUGUGAUGUUUCUUGUCAUAAUUAUUUACUCUGUUCUUUUCUUCCUGAAAUGUCCUACAGUUUUCUUUAAUCAACUUCUCUUUAUCUUUUCUGUAUCAUAUCUAGUACCACUUCACAAUCCACACUUCAGGUUCUCUCUCUAAUAACAUCCCAAGAAUUUCUCUAACACUGAACUUUGCUUCAUAAUAGUUAUCUAUGUGACUAUAAUUCUUGAAGAAAGAGACUGCCUCAUCUCUGAUUCUACAUUGCUUUAUGCAGUUUGUGUUAAUGGUAUAAAGAUAACAAAUAUUUAUUAACUAAAUGAGUACAGUGUAAGCUGUAUUUUGAAAAAAGAUUACUUUUUUUCAAAAUAGAGUUAAAUUACUUGAGAAACAAAGUUGUUGAUAAUCUUUAUGAUCCUUAUUUUCUUUUAAUUAUUUUUUCAAGUUUUGUCUCUUAAUGCAGAGCUAAUGAAUACAUGGAAAUUCAAUUCAAAUCAAAUUCAGAUUUGAGAUAAUCAACAGUAUGUUCUAUUGCCAAUUUUGCCCAAAUGGUAUAUUAUUCAGUUUCUCAUAAAUUAGCACCAAACUUACUUGUUACUUCACUUCCAAAAAAUAAUCUUAAACAUCAUAUCAGGUAACUGUGGUUUGCUUAUCCUUCAUAUUCAAUAAUUGGUCAUGAUUUCUUUUACCUCCUAAGAGAUUAAACAUUUAAAUCUUCUCUGCAAUAUUGUAUAUUUCUAUAGUUCAUUUCCAAAUAAUCAAAUAUCAUCCUAUUUCUUCAGUAUCUGUCAAAAUGUCAUCUCUGCUUUUAGAUUUACUAACUCGAAUUCAUCAUCCACAUGAUUUUUAUUCUUAUCUCUUUAAAUGAAAUUUAAUGCUGUAUGAUUUUUCCUUUAUUGAGCUUGGUGUCCAGAGAUCUAUAGGACUCUGGUGAGAGAGUGUUGGAAGUGAAGACUGAAGGUUGACUUUUUCAGAAGGGCCUCAAUGAGUCUGGAUUCAAAACAAGAAGUGAGCUACUUCUUCAUUGAUAGGAUGGUUGGAAGUAAAACAAUAUCUGAGAGCAGAAAGCCCUCUUCUAUUUUUCUAGCUCAGUAGCGGUGAGAGUCUUUCAUCUGUAGCCUCCCAGGGAAGGAGUCCCAUGUACCUCUAAGAUCCUGAGGGUUCUGGCUAUGAAACAUAUGUAAACAUUAGAAUCGAAGUCUAGAUUCAUUGACAUAAUGAAAUUGCGGCUUUUCUGAUAGGCCUCAGGAAGAAGAGAGAGAAAAAUAAGAUGGAAAAUUUGAAACACAUGGCAAGGGAAAAAAACUGCUGAAAGAGACAGAUGGACACCUGAUUUGUUUUAAGCAUUUAGGAAGAUGCACUCAGAAAUUAGAUUAGAUGAGAGAAAAUUAAGAUCAAUGUUAAUGACUUAACAGGUUUAGGAAAAUUUGGAGGAAAAGAAUAGGAGCUUCAAAGGGAGCAAAGGGGACAGAUGGAGGAUCAGAAAUAACAAAACAAUUGAUUGAAGAAAAUUUGAACUAAAUGAAGAACUGUGUUUUCAUAUUGAGAAUACUCACUGGGUCAGUCCUAGGCUGCACUAAUGAGAAAGAAUUUCUAACUGGGCAAAGCCUGAUAAAAUUAAUGAUAAUGAUAAAGAAAAAAAAUUUAACUGUAUAUGUAAGGAUAAGUCAUCAGUAAAUAAAUAUAUUUGCAUUACCAGUGGUUA
This is a long non-coding RNA of Pan troglodytes (chimpanzee), 2803 nucleotides long. RefSeq lists it as uncharacterized. NCBI's taxonomy places the organism in Eukaryota, Metazoa, Chordata, Mammalia, Primates, Hominidae. The transcript has 4 exons. The record is from RefSeq and is a predicted model, not a curated record.